Cicer arietinum (chickpea) is the source of this 1757-nucleotide long non-coding RNA. RefSeq lists it as uncharacterized. Lineage: Eukaryota; Viridiplantae; Streptophyta; Magnoliopsida; Fabales; Fabaceae. The record is from RefSeq and is a predicted model, not a curated record.
GCGAAGUUCACAUUUCCCUCCACCAUCCCCUAAAAUCGAUUUUCGCUCUAUCCCGCGCUAACCCCACCACUAAUGUCCCGACCCAAACACUCAUCAUCGGCGCCGGCGCCGGAGAAUAGAAUCAGCAGUUUAUCAGACGGAAUCCUCUGCCACAUUAUCUCUUUCCUCCCAACCAAACACGCCGUCACCACCGCAGAUAUCUCCAAAAGGUGGAUUAAUCUAUGGCGCUCUAUUCCCAACAUCGAUUUCAGCAAUAUCGAAUUGGAAGAUCGAGAAUCCAAUCACCGAUUCAACGAGUUCGUCUACUCGUCUUAGUUUCUCGUGAAAUCGCUGGUUUUCAUUCCAUCAACAGUUUCGUCCUCAACAUCGAACGCGGUUACAUUUAUCACGUCUUUUCUCUUACCAUUCCCAAUCUCACACGAUGGGUUAACCUAAUCGUUCAACGCAAUCUUCAACAUCUUCAUCUUCUUCUCCAUCUGCUUCGUGAUUUCAACGACGACGAUGAUAAUGAUGAUAUACUACUUCCCAAAUUGCCCAAUAGUGUAUUUACCUGCAAAACCCUAGUGAUUCUAAACCUUAGUUGUUUCUCUCUAAAAAGGUUUUUCUUUUUCUUCGAUUGGAUUUGGAUUUCCGAAACUCAAACCCCUUCAUUUGAAAGAUAUUGAUUUUGAUGAAGAUCGAGAUUUUAUGUUGUUAUUAGCUGGAUGCCCAAUUCUUGAAGAUUUAAUGGCAAGUCAUGUGUAUGUGUACAUGGUGGUGGCUCUCAAGAGUUUACAAACUUAAGCUUAAGCAAGUUGUUUAGAGCAGAUAUUUUUUGUUGUUAUUGUGAUUUUCCAACGACAACACUUUUUAACACGGAGUUUCUAAGAUUUCAACUAAGGGAGGUAGCUCCAUUUGAUUAUUAAUAUGAUAUGUUACGAUGCAUAGAAUCAUCAACUAAACAGUCAUUUUGGUUGUGAGAUGUUGUCAGUUGUGCUAUAAUCCAAGAUGUAUUGAAAUUAUAAAGAUAUUUCAAGUGUGUUUUUGUAAUUUUGAUAUAUUCAAAAACUAUUGUGGAAGAGAGUAACACAUUUAAAGACCAAAAUGAUUGUUUAUUGCUAGAAAAAUGUGAUUCAUUUGUAUCUUGUAUUUUUGGAUUUCUGGUCUGAUUUCUGAUUUUGUCUUUGUACAUAAUAUAGGCGUAUACCUUUUAUGAUUUUCCUACCUUUCAUAAUUUGACUCACUUGGUGCCAAACUAUGAUCGGGAUAUGGUGGUAGAAGUGCUGCACCAAGUUUAUCAGAAGAUACAAAGUGAGUGGGAUGACUACAUUGGAGAAUUAAAACAAGAAAAUUGGGUGAACCCAGAAUUUGUUCCACUAUGUCUUUCAUUAUGCCUUAGAACUUGCACUAUUCGGGACUUUGCAUAUUUAAGCCUACAACUUCAACAUCACCUUAUGUUGGCAGAAUAUAUUCUUAAGAAUGCGAGAGUCUUACAAACCAUGACAAUAUGGAGUGACAAAGAACUACCUGAAAUAGAAACAAAAUUGUCCUCAUAUCCUAGGGCCUCUGCAAAUGUCAACUUUCAGUUUUUUGAUUACAUAGAGCAUAUGUAAGUACUACUUAGUUUCUCUAUCUUACAUGUAGUGCAUUAGCUUCUAUCAUGCAACUGUUGUAUUGGAUGGUUUGAUGAACUAUGUGCUUUCAAGGUCACAGACUCUGUCUCGGGGCACAAGUUAAGGAAAAAUUAUCCUUAAAUGAUAUAGUUAGUACUUGCCUAA